UACGAAGGGGGCUAGCGUUGUUCGGAUUUACUGGGCGUAAAGCGCGUGUAGGCGGACUUGUAAGUUGGGGGUGAAAUCCCGAGGCUCAACCUCGGAACUGCCUCCAAAACUACAAGUCUGGAGCAAGAUAGAGGCAAGUGGAAUUGCGAGUGUAGAGGUGAAAUUCGUAGAUAUUCGCAGGAACACCAGUGGCGAAGGCGAUUUGCUGGAUCUUUGCUGACGCUGAGACGCGAAAGCGUGGGGAGCAAACAGG
This 253-nucleotide ribosomal RNA is filed under the name uncultured bacterium. RNAcentral's name for it is "partial 16S ribosomal RNA". It matches the Rfam family "Bacterial small subunit ribosomal RNA", at positions 524 to 776 of the family's 1533-position model. The record is from RNAcentral.